GCGGCAUGCCUAACACAUGCAAGUCGAACGAGACCUUCGGGUCUAGUGGCGCACGGGUGCGUAACGCGUGGGAAUCUGCCCUUAGGUUCGGAAUAACAGUGGGAAACUACUGCUAAUACCGGAUGAUGACGUAAGUCCAAAGAUUUAUCGCCUAGGGAUGAGCCCGCGUAGGAUUAGCUAGUUGGUGGGGUAAAGGCCUACCAAGGCGACGAUCCUUAGCUGGUCUGAGAGGAUGAUCAGCCACACUGGGACUGAGACACGGCCCAGACUCCUACGGGAGGCAGCAGUGGGGAAUAUUGGACAAUGGGCGAAAGCCUGAUCCAGCAAUGCCGCGUGAGUGGUGAAGGCCUUAGGGUUGUAAAGCUCUUUUACCCGGGAAGAUAAUGACUGUACCGGGAGAAUAAGCCCCGGCUAACUCCGUGCCAGCAGCCGCGGUAAUACGGAGGGGGCUAGCGUUGUUCGGAAUUACUGGGCGUAAAGCGUACGUAGGCGGCUUUUUAAGUUAGAGGUGAAAGCCCGGGGCUCAACUCCGGAAUUGCCUUUAAGACUGGAUCGCUUGAACGUCGGAGAGGUGAGUGGAAUUCCGAGUGUAGAGGUGAAAUUCGUAGAUAUUCGGAAGAACACCAGUGGCGAAGGCGGCUCACUGGACGACUGUUGACGCUGAGGUACGAAAGCGUGGGGAGCA
RNAcentral lists this ribosomal RNA (685 nucleotides) under uncultured Alphaproteobacteria bacterium. RNAcentral's name for it is "bacterial SSU rRNA". It matches the Rfam family "Bacterial small subunit ribosomal RNA", at positions 39 to 770 of the family's 1533-position model. The record is from RNAcentral. Lineage: Bacteria; Pseudomonadati; Pseudomonadota; Alphaproteobacteria.